AACUAAUCAAUCAAAUAAAGGGAAAUAAUAUGAACCUAGAGAUUGAAAUUCAAAUUGGGUUUCAGAACCAGGUACGUUUUUACAGAAGGGUGUUGCUGAAAGACCCCCCAAAAAAAAUUAAAAAAAAUAAAUCAAUGGAAAAUGAUGAAUUGAAACAAAAUGUUAAUAAAAAUCUAAGCUUUUUCACCUUUAAAGCACAAAUCAAUAGAAAAGUUGCAGACUUUAGAAAUCCAGGAAGCACAAUCACACAACUCAGUCAAAGCAAUUUAAUAAUCAGCUCAUUGUCAAUAUUUUUGAACAACAAUUA
This 307-nucleotide long non-coding RNA is filed under the name Trifolium pratense (red clover). RNAcentral's name for it is "long non-coding RNA (TPRA_LNC004911)". Lineage: Eukaryota; Viridiplantae; Streptophyta; Magnoliopsida; Fabales; Fabaceae. The record is from RNAcentral.